This 3002-nucleotide long non-coding RNA is filed under the name Helianthus annuus (common sunflower). RNAcentral's name for it is "hypothetical non coding rna". The record is from RNAcentral. Lineage: Eukaryota; Viridiplantae; Streptophyta; Magnoliopsida; Asterales; Asteraceae.
UUGUUCCACUCUAGUGCCUUGGUCUGCAACCAGCAACCACGUAACUCUCGUUAGCCCUAAUUCUGAAUGAAGAAUCAUUGGUUAAUGGAGGAAGAUGGUGUAGUUCAUGCUAGUUCUGAAAUCAAUUUAAUCAACAAUGAAGACACCGUACUCUGAAACAAUACAUUCAUUGUCUUUUUAACCCUACAAAUCUUCGACAACCACAUGUUUCCGCCGCCUCUCCAUCGUACCUGACUCAACACAACCACCGUCACAAGAAUUACCACAAUUCGUCAUCACUGUUCCCUCAGGCUCUCCUCAAAAGCGCUCAAUUUAUUGGGGUUGCAUAAGUAUUCGAGUGGGUCGGAGAUGUACAAAAAGGCACUACAAGCUGUAUAUUUAACUGCAAUUUGGGGCAUUUGGAAGGCGCGAAACAAGGCGGUGUUUAACAAUGUUCAGGCACAGCUCCAAAAGACUAUGAGCUGACAUAAAAGCUCUUAGCAUAAGCAUUAGGAAGGGAGGGUGGGUAACAGAUUGAUCGCGUUUAUCUUAGUUCUCCUUAUUGUUUUGUUGUACUUGAUCAUGAAAGGAAGUGGACGUAUGUGUUGAGGAAGGAAGGGCUACCUGAUGUUGUUUACACUUUAAUUGGAGCUGGAGCAGCAGAAGUUGCUAUUGAUGCUGCUAAUAUAUUAAAAUGAGCCCUUACCAGAGGUGAAUUGCAGGUGGCAAUGUAUACACUUGAUAAAUACCGAAAACAUAUUGUAUAAUAUCCAGCGUUAGAGAGAUAUCCAGCGUUAGAGAGACGGUUCCAGCCAGUUAAGGUACCUGAGCCUUCUUUCUUUGUUUAUAGUUAAGUGAUAAAGUUGGUGGGUUGGGCAUGUUGGGUAAGAGGUCGAAAGCAGGGUUGGCAACUCGUGUUUGGUUUAGGUCGGUAGGUCUGUAUAACCCAAACCCACCUCCCACUUGAGUAGUUAAUCUUGUCGAAAAGGUGAACUCUAACCUGGUUAAAUGGUUUAGCUUUGUGGAGCCAUUUACAAUCCGUUUGUAUGGCUAGUGUCAUUGGCAUAGUGAUAUCCUUUUGUAAUUUAUAGUGAGAUACCAAACUCAACCCGGUAGCUUUGUUUAAUAAGCGUGAAGCACUAAGCCGUUUAGGUCCCAAAAGCAAAAGCGAGAGCUAUAUCUUAUUUUUAUUGAAACCCAAAAGAUAUGGUACCAAACUCAGCUAUAUCUUAUUUUUAUUUCUCACAUAUCUAUGUCAAAUCAAAAUCGAAAGGAUGAAUUUGGGUAUUUAAAAAUGUUAUUUUUUCAGAAAGGGCCCCAAUUUUUUUUUUCCGGCUUUGGGCCUCCAAACAGGUUGAGCCGACCAUGUUGGUAAGACGGUGAAUAUACUUGAGAUGCAUACUGGUUCAUGUUGGUUAUUACGUUGAUUUGCAACUUUACAUAUAUUUGAGCAGAUUCAUUAAAGUUGUGUAUCAAAGUUACCAAGGUAGCAAAUGGUCAGUAGCAGAUAGAUCAACUAAACUUAGCGGAAUAUAAUUGCUUGCAUAUAUUAUUAAAGCUACCAAGGUAGCAAAUGGUCAGUAGCAGGUAGCAAAUGGUCAGUAGCAGAUAUCUUAUUAAAGUUGAUUUGCAAUAAAAUGUGUGACUAAAGAUUAGACAAUAGUCACACUUAAAAUUAUAAAAUUAGACAAUAGUCACACUUAAAAUUAUAAAAUUUUGUGUGACUAUAAAUAACAAUUAGACACACCAUAGUCACCUUGUUUCUUGUUUGUGUGACGGAAUUAUACCAAACGUUAUGGGAAAAGAAGUUAUGUGUGACCAAAGGUUAAACAAUAGCCACAUUUAAAAUUACAAAAUUUCGUGUUGUUAUAAAUAACCAUUAGCCACAGCAUAGUCAUUUCUUUUUUGUUUGUGUGACGAAAUGAAACUAAACGUCAUGGGAAAAAUAAAUAUGUGUGACCAAAGGUUAGACAAUAGCCACAUUUAAAAUUACAAAAUUUCAUGUGACUUUACGUAAUCAUUAGUCACACCAUUGCCAUUUUGCUUAUUUUGGUGUGACGAAAGAUUACACAAUAGCCACAGUUAAAAUAAAAAAAACAAAAUCAUGUGGCUUUACAUAACUUUUAGUCACACCAUCCUUAUUUUGUUUUUUUAUGUGACCGAAUGAUAGCAUGUGUAAUGCACAAAAUCAACAUUCAUUUGACUUAAUGUGAAGCAAUUGUUUAUCAUACUAUUCUCUUCUUUGGAUUGUGUUUACAAAGUUUGUAUUCAUUUCCGCAGCACUUUUCACUGUUUAAUAUUCUCUAAAUGAUCAAUUUAUACAAACAAACACAAUCAUGAGAGCCUCCGAUCCUAACAAUUGGUAUCAGAGCUUAGACAGUCAAAUUCGAUCUAACAAUCAAUUUGACGUAACAGUUCAGCUCACAAUUCAUUAAUACUAAGGUUGGUCGUAUUUUAGUUGAAAAACAGAGUAACGAGAAAUCAUGUUCAAAGUGAUGACUCAAAAGCUCUGUAAAACAACCAAGAUGUCAUAAGAUUCACAAAUCUCAUACAGCUGGUGAUGUCAUGUACAAAUCACUCAUAGUUUCCAGAUCUGGAAACUUAUCUGGUAACUAUAGUAUGUUGAUCUUCAUUCAAAAUUGAUUUCAACUGCUGUUAUGAAAUCUGUGAUGUUUUCAUCAUAUUUUACACUAAAGUAUGCACCUCAGAUUAGCAAAACCUAUGUUCAUAUAAACACUAGUGUUCUACUAACAUAGAAAGGGGGAAAUAAAGCUUUAGUCAAAAUUUCUUAUGUGCUAGAAGGCAGGUUGAGAAUCCUCAAAAGGACCAAAUCAACUUUGUCAAAACACAUUAAGAAAAUAAGGUGUCAAAACAGUCCAAAUCAUACGUAAUGUGAGAAUUGGUAAUAAAACAUGUGCAAAUAUGGCCAGAUCUCUCAAAACAUUACUUCAAAAUGAUUAUGGACUAAGCUUCCUCAAAAUAAAACCUCCCUGUGAGUAUUUCUGUAUUGGUGAAUGGGAUGG